Long non-coding RNA from Amphiprion ocellaris (clown anemonefish), 877 nucleotides. The record is from Ensembl. Lineage: Eukaryota; Metazoa; Chordata; Actinopteri; Pomacentridae.
AGAGGCUGAUUGAAGCUGAGCUCAAUUAGAAGGAAAUGAGAGCAAAGAAGGAGAGGAGGAGGAAGGUUUGGAUGCAGAAAUUAGUCUCCAGAUCAGAGAAGUUUGCUGCAGAGAAUCAGUAAGAUGUGGUUCAGUGAAGUCCUGGCUGAUGUUUGCCUGCAGCUCAGGACUCAGCGGUGAUUUCUAGUGAAUCCUGGGAGGAAGAGGAGCAGCGAAGAUCAUAGCUGGGAAGGAAACUCUACAACUUUCAUUGUGGCGGUAAAACCCUGAGGUAGGAAGCAGGAACUGAAAUUGAAAAGUAAAUGAGAGAUAAAGUCAAUAUGCUACUUUGGUGUUCAUGAAAUUAGAAACAGGUGCACUAGAGGGGUGCUCAGAGGGGCUCAGUGAUGCUCUGGUCCAGAUCUGGAAGGAGAUACCUCAGGACACCAUCCAUCGUCUCAUUAAGAGCCCCGACAUCAUCAGGCUGCAUACAAGCACGUGGAGACCAUACAAACUACUGAGUACCAUUUUGAGUUGCUGCCCAGGAAUUUCAGAAAGAUGGACCAGCCUGCCACGUCAUUUUUUCACUUUCAGUUUUGGGGUGUCUUGAAUUCAGCCCUCUGUAGGUUGAUCAUUUUCAUUUCUAUCAAGCAAUGUGGCAUGUUUUUGUUCUUAACACAUUAUCCAGUCCAUAUCAAUGUAGAUAUCCAGCUUGUUAUUUUUUCCCAUUAAAAUAUGAUGUAUUUUCAAAGUGUUCCUUUAAUUUUUUUGAGCAGUGUACAUAUUUUUUGGGCUGUAUUUUAGGGUUAACUUGCAUUUGAACAACACAAAGAAAAUCGGCCCAAUACACCCCACAAUGUUCCAAAAAUUCCAAUUAAAAACUGUUGAAAAAUGUUCA